GUCAGGUUACCUCCUGGGUUGUUUUAAAGAUCAAAUGAGACAAUAGUAUAUGUCAAAGUACUGUUAGUGCUGUGUUAGGUGGUGUUUGAGACUCAGAUGGACCAUUUUGUUGGUGAACUUAAAGCCAUGUACAACAUGUUAUCCCCACCGAAUGGACAACAAUAAUUUGGCAAUUUCUAGCCUGAGCCCAGGAAUUCGUUUCGAUGAGGAAACUGAAAUUUAAAGAGGUGACCUCAGCUGCGGCCAAGGAACGAGUGGCAGAGUGGGAAGUAGAGAAGGGCUGCACUGGCUCAGAGUCCAGCUUAAGCCGCCACUGCACCACAUUCCUAUCCUCGGAGGACUCACAGUCCCAUCUCUGGGAUCUACAGGAUGCACCACUGCAGCACCUUUGUGCACCCCAAGACAUCAACAUCACCCCAAAAGCUAGGAACAACUAUUGUACUAGUGCCAGGAAACCAUGGAAAGCAAACCCAGACUCAUGAAGACCCUCAGUUUCAGAUGGCACACCUCUGUGAAUUACUCUACUUAUUCAACCUUUUCCCACCAGACCAAUCCAAAGUGAGUUCACGUUCCUUGGGAGUUGAUACUACCUCAUCCAUCACAGCCUUAAAUAGGGAUUAUUCAACUUCUGAAGUUUCAUGGUUUUCAAAUUCAUGUCGAUUUUAUGUCCUUCUCCAUGAUGUAUCUAUUUGUUGGUAUAUAAAAAAAUGUUUU
Hipposideros armiger (great roundleaf bat) is the source of this 714-nucleotide long non-coding RNA. RefSeq lists it as uncharacterized. The record is from RefSeq and is a predicted model, not a curated record. The transcript has 4 exons. NCBI's taxonomy places the organism in Eukaryota, Metazoa, Chordata, Mammalia, Chiroptera, Hipposideridae.